This 504-nucleotide ribosomal RNA is filed under the name uncultured bacterium. Its description in RNAcentral is "bacterial SSU rRNA". It matches the Rfam family "Bacterial small subunit ribosomal RNA", at positions 32 to 511 of the family's 1533-position model. The record is from RNAcentral.
AAUCAACGCUGGCGGCGUGCCUCAGACAUGCAAGUCGAACGCGAAAGUUUCCUUCGGGGAGCGAGUAGAGUGGCGCACGGGUGAGUAACACGUAGGUAAUCUACCUUCGGAUGGGGAAUAACAAUCGGAAACGGUUGCUAAUACCGCAUAAUGCAGCGGCACCUAAUGGUGACAGUUGUUAAAGCGGGGGAUCGUAAGACCUCGCGUCUGAAGAGGAGCCUGCGGCGGAUUAGCUUGUUGGUAAGGUAAUGGCUUACCAAGGCGACGAUCCGUAACCGGCCUGAGAGGGCGGUCGGUCACACUGACACUGACAUACGGGUCAGACUCCUACGGGAGGCAGCAGUCGGGAAUUUUGGGCAAUGGGCGAAAGCCUGACCCAGCAACGCCGCGUGAAGGAUGAAAUCCCUCGGGAUGUAAACUUCGCAAGAACGGGAAGAAUAAGCGAGAGUUAAUAUCUUUCGUGAUGACGGUACCGUUUGUAAGCUCCGGCUAACUCCGUGCCAG